CAUUGAGCCCACAAUCUUUAAAUAUUGACUGCAUAUUUGGGGGAGAGAGUUUUUCACUGAACUUUACACUGCCAGCCAACACGACUUCCUCCCCGGUUGUUACAGAUGGGAAAGGAGCAGUACGUAUAUCACUUAAAUGAUGGAGCCUCAGUUUGGUCAUUUAUAAAAUGGACAUAAUAAUGCUCUACUGUCUGGUGCAUUCGUUUUGAGGAUUAGAUAGCAUUUGAUAUAUGAACUGUCACCAAGCACAGAAUCUGGCUCAACUAUUAUUCUUAGGACCAACUCAGCUCAAAAGUGAGGGAUAAUGUGCAAAAUCACAGAUGGAUUUCACAAAUUGCUGAGCAAAAGAGGCUAGAAUCAGAAGAGUACAUACUUUCCAUUUGCAUCUAGAUGACAUUGAAAAACAGGACUGUGGGCCCUCUCUCGGAUUAGCAGCAGGCAUCCCAUCCCUGGUGGCCACAGCCCUGCUGGUGGCUUUGCUAUUUACUCUGAUUCACCGAAGAAGAAGCAGCAAUGAGUCUGCCGAGGAAAGUGAGAGGCCAUGUGAAAUUUCAGAAAUCUAUGACAGUCCCAGGAUAGCUGAGAAUCCUAGGAGGGCACCCACACACGGGAAGAAUAUGAUGGGAUCUGAAGAAUCUCACAUAUAUGUGAAGACUGUAGCAGGAAGCGAGGAGCCCAUGCAUGACACUUACCGUCCUACUGAAGAAAUGGAGAGAAGAAGGGGAUUGUGGUGGCUUAUGCCCAGACUGAGCUUGGAAUGAUGUGGCUCAGCCAAAGAGCAGAUCUGGUGCUGGAACAGAGCUGAAAACCCAGGGAUUUAUGCUUGAGUGAGGAGAGAUGCCAAACUGCUUCUUAACCAAUCUCAAUUUCAUUGACAGAUCUGGAAAACUUUUGGGUUGAUUUGUCUCUUUAGGGAACAGAUCUGCAAAGGUUCAUUCCAACUCUCAGAUCUUGUGGUUUAAUAAGCAGUAAAGCACAAAGUGUGGUCACUGUGCAUCCAGAAGGAGCCUUUGGAUCCUGUUCCUGACCCCAGUGGGAAUUCGCUUUUCUUUGUGAUUUUGGGAAAGGGACUUGAUUUCUGAGUGUCUUGCCUUCUCAUCUUUUUUCACAUCCUUUUCCUCAAAAAAGUCAUCAGACCUGGAUUCCAUGGGAGAGUUGACCAAGGCCAACAUGGGGUACAAAUUGGGACAUAAAUGAAGCUUACAGGGAAUGUGCAAGGGGAAGCAGUUCCUUGUUUCUGAACAUCUCAGGGUAGAAAUCAUGUGGAACCACACAGUCCCUGACCACAGGUGCAGCAUGUGACUGGAUCAUUCAUUGCUCCACCUGGGUCUGUGAUCAGAGAGUAUUCAAGGAAGGCAAUUCUGCAAUGAACUGUGUGUGUGUUGAGGGUCAGUAGGGUAGAAGGAAGGCAGAGGUUUCGAAAGAUUAUUAGAAAUGAUGGCUAUAUCCAUUUUGUGGGAUUAGAGAGAAAGGUCCAAGUCCUUGGACUAUCAUGGGGAAAAACUCACCGGCAGGAAGAGAGAUCAAGAGGACUCUGAGUGGAUGAACACAGGACCAAAGGGGUGGGACAGGUAGUAAUGUGCCUGCCACCUGAGGGAAGCCCGUGGACAGCGUCAGCCAGCUGGAGGCAGGCCUUCACCAUUGCUUCUGUGAGGAAUCCUCCAGGAAUCCUGGUUCCUCCACAUAGGGCCAUUGCUCAUGAGUAGGCUGGGUUUCCUGGUGGGAGAACCUGGGUUCAGGACCUCUUGGGGUUCAUCCACCAGCUCCAUGCACCACCAUGAUAAGCUGUAGAAACAUUCCUUUCUCACACAGGACCUCUGAUUGCUCAGAAACACACCCCCUCUUCUUCAAAUAACCAAGAAUAGGUUCUACAAACUCAAUCACUGCCAUGUGCCAACACCUGAUUUUCAAAACCCCUUGUGAAAUUCAAUUUUGCGCUAAGUCCCCUAGGUCCAGUCACCUUGACAAGCAAAUGUGGCCAUUUUUAAGCAGAUGUGCCCAGUGAUCCAGGUGCUUGUACUUCUCUUACAUGUUGGGAAGGACCUUGAAUUUGCUGAGAACUUGACUGUGGCCUUGGUCUUGACACUUAUAAGUUCAAGCCCUGGGGCAAAUUGUUGACCCGCAGAAGCUUCGAUUCUUCCCUUACGAAAUGGAGAUAGCAGUUCUCAUCCUUCCACCCCCAGGGUGGUUGUGAGGAUUGAAACACGCAUGUGAAUAAAGCUUGUAGUCUAUAAGGUAAUGUGUGACUUGUAUUUUGGAUCAUUUAUUUUUAUUCCACUUAUAAUUCAUUGCUCAGAGUCUUUAUUUCAAAUUGUUUCUACUAAAAUAGCAAGAUUCAGUAUUCCUGUCAUUUUUUUUCCUGCUAUGAUGUGCAAGAACUUAUUUUGGAAUAAAGUGAAAAGUAAAAUGGUCAUUUUUAUAGACAUACAACACAUCUGUGGUUUCUCUUGGCCUAUAUUAAAGUCUAUGACAUUGGCCCUGGGGUUGGAAUCAAGGUUAUCCCGGGGAUUUUUCUGGUGCUGGCUCUCUCUGGGGCUGAUGAGGGAGGUGUUCAUUUCUUCAUUUAGGGCAGCCUGUGUUGUGGGAAACUACAGGGACCAGAAGUCAGAAGCUGUAGCUCUCUGACCCAGGGCUGGUACGAGCUUAGGGAUGACUCUGGGCCAGUCGCAUUUUAUCUCCUUUCUUCAUGUACCACUUGGUGUUUGGGUUGGCUUGUCUCUAAGGUUAACUCCACCCAGUUCAAACAUUCUAACUUUGAUUUUCCAAAUUCUGCAAAGUAGGGCCUCCCCUUCCGCCUCCCUGCUCACCGCUCCCGUCAGCACAGCCUUCUGGACCUUGCAAAGUCCUUCUCAGCUCUUGGCUUUGGAGGUGGAGAGAGAGACUUAUUUCUCCUGUAUCCUGCCAAUAGACAACAGUUUCACAUAGCUUUCCUUGUGGCAUUUAUCACUGCAAAAGCGUAAUGCCAAUUAAAGACAAAAAACAUGAAGAAUGACUAAUGUUUGAAGCAUUGUCUAUUUAUACGAUCUUGCACUCCCACCAUCCUGGUGGAAAUUAUUGAUUAAUGCAUGAGUUAAUUUAACAAAUGGGCAUUGGCUUCCCUCAUGUGUCAGACCAUCUGCCGGGUCCUAUGAUAAGAUUGGAG
RNAcentral lists this long non-coding RNA (3142 nucleotides) under Equus caballus (horse). RNAcentral's name for it is "lncRNA (ENSECAG00000053690.1)". The record is from RNAcentral. Lineage: Eukaryota; Metazoa; Chordata; Mammalia; Perissodactyla; Equidae.